GAUUUUGUCACAACAAAACUAAAACGCACCGGAAAUUAAGCAGACUUUCGUUGUCUGUGUUUGGGUGGAGCACUGCUGAAAAGAGACUGUAGAGGUGAUCCUCGGAAGUUGCCUAUUUUUUAACGACGUUCAAUAAGCGCAUCAUGCGAGUCUGCUACUUACUCUGGAUAUUUUUGGCAGAAACAUUAGGUAUGUUACUAGUGGAUACACAAAUGUUAUUGCUAUUAAAAUAUUAUUUAGCGUUAAUUCAAUGGGAUUUACAUGGACAUUAUUUAGUUUCAGAGUCUCUGAUGUGUGACAGUAGUUGAAAAAAAGUCUAGCACUUUGGUUUUUGGAGAUUAGUUUGUAUAAUUUGCACAGGUGCCAUAAUUUAAGAAAUCGUCAAAGUGAAAUAUUUUUAUUCUGAGGAUUUCAAUUUACUUUUAUUAUAGCUGUUAUAUUCUCAGUACCAGCGAGUGAGCUUAAGGUUGAUAAAAAUCAUAAUUUUGUACUCUCUCAAAGAUAAAUAAUAGUUUAAGGAUGCAGACAAAAUCGGUCUUUAAAAUUAAAAAGUCUUUAAAAACACACACAAUGUCACUGUAUGUCAUUUUAUCCGCACGCUGUAAAUGCUGGGUGGUUUUAACUCGUGUAGGGUCGAAUAUACAAGGAUCUCUUAAUAAAUAAAAAAUGUAUCCAUAUUGCUUGAAUGAAUUUCUUUUUAAUGUUCUUAUUUUUAUGAUGACUUUAUAGCGUAUCAACAUUUCCGCUACAUCCAAAGGCUUGAGGGUGAAUCUGUGGACAUGUUUUGUGGUGCACAAGCAAGUGCAUCAUUCCCACUAAAUCUGUAUUUACGACGAAGCUCUGCUCAUUCAGAAAGUGUGUUGAACAUCUCUGUAGAUGGAAGUGCAAGAGCAGAAGCACGGACUGAGGGACGCAUCAAGAUUUCUGGACAGUUACACACAGUUACUGUGACCCUUUCUCAUUUAAAACACACAGACACAGGACUCUAUACCUGUGAUUUCUCUGGAAACUUAUCACAUCAGCCUUCAACGAACACAGUUUUCUUUCUGCAUGUGCACACAUCAGGUGAGUCGUGCUCCUGUAGAAGGUUUUCUCUCCUCAUCUACACACUUUCAGCAGGAGUGUGUCUUAUUGUGCUCGCAGUCGCCGCUGUCAUCGUGAUGCACUAUAAAAAACCAUAUGCUCAAACAGCGCCUCCAAUUUAUGAAGACAUGUCAAGUGUGCAAGGAAAAGGAUGCAGUGCAAACAGUCAACAGGGGCCUCAUUUAUAUAUAAUUACAGAUCGUCCUAAAUGUGUUUGAAAAGGGUCCUCCUGUGUUUUUAUGGCAGUGGUUCUCAAAGUGGGGGUCGGGACCCCUUGAGGGGUCGCGGAACAGUGAAGGGGG
Danio rerio (zebrafish) is the source of this 1385-nucleotide non-coding RNA. The record is from RefSeq and is a predicted model, not a curated record. Lineage: Eukaryota; Metazoa; Chordata; Actinopteri; Cypriniformes; Danionidae.